AGAGUUUGAUCAUGGCUCAGGACGAACGCUGGCGGUGUGCUUAAUACAUGCAAGUCGAACAGAGUUUGAUCAUGGCUCAGAUUGAACGCUGGCGGCAGGCCUAACACAUGCAAGUCGAACGGUAGCACAGAGGAGCUUGCUCCUUGGGUGACGAGUGGCGGACGGGUGAGUAAUGUCUGGGAAACUGCCCGAUGGAGGGGGAUAACUACUGGAAACGGUAGCUAAUACCGCAUAACGUCGCAAGACCAAAGAGGGGGACCUUCGGGCCUCUUGCCAUCAGAUGUGCCCAGAUGGGAUUAGCUAGUAGGUGGGGUAACGGCUCACCUAGGCGACGAUCCCUAGCUGGUCUGAGAGGAUGACCAGCCACACUGGAACUGAGACACGGUCCAGACUCCUACGGGAGGCAGCAGUGGGGAAUAUUGCACAAUGGGCGCAAGCCUGAUGCAGCCAUGCCGCGUGUAUGAAGAAGGCCUUCGGGUUGUAAAGUACUUUCAGCGGGGAGGAAGGUGUUGAGGUUAAUAACCUCAGCAAUUGACGUUACCCGCAGAAGAAGCACCGGCUAACUCCGUGCCAGCAGCCGCGGUAAUACGGAGGGUGCAAGCGUUAAUCGGAAUUACUGGGCGUAAAGCGCACGCAGGCGGUCUGUCAAGUCGGAUGUGAAAUCCCCGGGCUCAACCUGGGAACUGCAUUCGAAACUGGCAGGCUAGAGUCUUGUAGAGGGGGGUAGAAUUCCAGGUGUAGCGGUGAAAUGCGUAGAGAUCUGGAGGAAUACCGGUGGCGAAGGCGGCCCCCUGGACAAA
RNAcentral lists this ribosomal RNA (800 nucleotides) under uncultured bacterium. RNAcentral describes it as "bacterial SSU rRNA". It matches the Rfam family "Bacterial small subunit ribosomal RNA", at positions 1 to 737 of the family's 1533-position model. The record is from RNAcentral.